CAAUAGCAUAUAUUAACGUUGUUGCAGUUGAAAAGCUCGUAGUUGAACUUUUGGUAGGAGCGACCUGGCCUUGGGCGCAUGCCCUUGUUUGCCGUGUGUCGUAUCUGGCCAUCCUUUUCUUCUUUUUGGAAGGAAUCCUUUACUGUGAGUAAACUGGAGUGCUCAAAACAAGACGUUUGUUUGGUACAUUAAAGCAUGGAAUAAUAAGAUAGGACCUGGUUACUAUUUUGUUGGUUUGCAUAGCUAGGUAAUGAUUAACAGGGACAGUUGGGGGUAUUCGUAUUUAAUUGUCAGAGGUGAAAUUCUUGGAUUUAUGAAAGACGAACGACUGCGAAAGCAUUUACCAAGGAUGUUUUCAUUAA
Molecule: ribosomal RNA, 362 nt
Filed under: uncultured eukaryote
Lineage: Eukaryota
Description: partial 18S ribosomal RNA
Rfam family: Eukaryotic small subunit ribosomal RNA
Source: RNAcentral